Molecule: long non-coding RNA, 2600 nt
Filed under: Octopus vulgaris (common octopus)
Lineage: Eukaryota; Metazoa; Mollusca; Cephalopoda; Octopoda; Octopodidae
Source: RNAcentral
AUAUAUAUAUACACACACAUACAUACAUGUAUACAUACAUAUGCAUAUAUACAUACACACACACACAUGGAUUUAACUUAUCCUGUGGUACUCACAAAAAACGCUUCUUUAGUAGACCAGGUUACAAACCCCAAACCAAACUAAUAUAUAUGAGUAUAAGGUAGAGUCCUAUGCAGUUGAAAUUCAGUAAAUCCAAUUAGUAACUAUUGUUUCAUUAGGGGUAUAUAAAAUAUAAUAAGGGUCAGGAGAUAUGAGAUGAAUGUAUUUAUUUUACCAGUUGAUAUCCAUAACAUUAUGAUCAGUUCUUAGCUAAUAUCAUGGAAAAAUAAGUUAUUUUAGUGUAUAAUAAGUAAUGUUAUAAAUUAUGCAGUAUUUAUAUAUAAAUUAUACAGUACUCAAUUGCAGCGUGGGAGGUGUUUGUAAGCCAUUUAAGAAACACACAAAAGCCGUUCGAUUCACUUCAACAUUUAAGUUUAAUUUGUCAAAAUAUUUUCGCCGCUUUAAGACCGCGACCUGUUCACCGACAAAAAUCCGUGCUGCAUCUGAGAAAGUAACAGUUAGUUCGUUAUAUAUAUGUAUGUAUGUAUGUAUGCACGCAUGUAUGUACGUAUGUACAUACGCAUGUGUGUAUGUAUGUAUGUAUGUAUGUGUGUAUAUGCGCGCACACACACACACACACUAUAAACUUAAAGCUAUAAACCUGUAGUGAUGGAUAGGUGUAGACUGACCAUUCAUUACAACAAUAUCAAAUUUCAACCUCCCCCGCCGAAACUAGGAAGUGAUUUACGACCCUUACCCCCACGACAAAACUCUAAAACCUAUUAUCAGCCACUUAUCUCUAUAUCUCAAAACAUUUGUUUUACUAUUACGUCUUAAAGUGACGAAAAUAUUUUGACAAAUUAAACUUAAAUGUUGGAGUGAAUCGAACGGCUUUUGUGUGUUUCUUAAAUGGCUUACAAACACCUCCCAUGCUGCAAUUGUUUUCGUUUCAGCACACGAUCUCAGAUCAAAUCACUUGCUAUGCAAGUACAUCUCCGUAAUUAUACAGUAUUGUUACAAGGUAAUACACGUAAAGAAGGCUAGCUCUUCAGAUCAUAGAAAAUCAUGGUUACAUCCAUUCUUCAUCUCAAUUUAUACAUACAUAAGAAAAAAUAUUUUGAAAAUUACUUUUCGCUUUUGUAUGUAUAUAUUGAGCUGAAGAAUGGAUGUAACCAUAAUUUUCUAUGAUCUGAAGAGCUGGCCUUCUUUUCUAGUAUUCUGUAUUACCUUGUAAAUUGUACAAUAUUAAUAUAUAAUUUAUAACAUAUACUUUAAUAUAGACAUAUAGAAUAAUUUAUUAUGUAUUAAAAUAAAUUAUUUUUCCAUAUUGUUGGCUGUGAAACGAUCAUAAUCUUAUGUAUAACAACUGGUGAAAUACAUACAUCUCAUACCUCCUGAUUUUCUUUGUUAUAUAUAUAUAUAUAUAUAUAUACAUAUAUAUACUCAAAAUAAGCAACAGGAAUAUCUCCGGUAAUUUGGUACGAUCGUUUCACGCUACAUCAUUUUAUUAAGUAUUGUAAGUAUUACAACAGUUUUAAAAUGUUGACCAAUCAUCAGCCAUUUACAGAGGUUUUCCAUUAAUACAUAAUUUUCAGGAUAACACCAUACAAAAUUCUGGUGCAUCUAACUUAAGUACCAUAUUCAUUUGAAUCUAAAUUUUGCUGAACUUAUAUAUAUAUGCAUAUGAGAGGGACAACCUUUAUGCUAGAAGUAGGUCUGCUAUGGUUUUACCACUAAGAAAUUAAUAUCCAAUUUCUCGCCUUCAUUUAAAAUUUAUAUAUAGAUAUAUAUAUAUAUGUAUGUGUGUAUGUGUGUAUAUAUAUAACCUGCAACUGUAUCUGUGCAUCUGACUUCAGCUUAUGCAGUCACAUGUGCAUUCACGCAGGCUGAUCAUGCAACAUAAUUGUCUUUCGCAACCUCAAGAGACUACAGCUAUUAGUAUUAUACAUAUAUAGGUACAUAUAUGUGUAUAUGUUCAUGUAUAUGUGUGUGUACAAUUAUAUAUCUGUGUGUGUAUUUAUAAGAAAUCGUGUGAACAAAUAGAUGUAAGACUACUACUGUUAUGUUUAGAGCUCAAUGUAGAUUAUCCUCAUCCAGUGUUUUUUCUGUAUAGUAGUUAAUUAACUUCUACACAGAGAAGUAUCACCAGUUAAGAGCUACACAGCAAAUGGAAGAGAAAUAAGGAUAAACACAAGUUUUUAUUAUAGUUCCUAUGUGAGUUUCAUCCGUGUGGUUGUUUAGAACCAAGCAAUAGGUUUUCCCAAGUGUAUUGGAGAUACUCGGCCACAAUGGAUCGUCUGGGAACAUUUUAUUGCAUCAAGUUACAGAUUACUAUGUCCCUUGUGUAUAAGUAUAUAUAAAAGUAUAUAUAUAUAUAUAUAUAUAUAUAUAUGUUUUCAAGUACUUUGGUUUUUCUGGGAGCCCCUUUUAAAGUAGAUGGAAUAGCUAAGAUUUUUUUUACUGCUAUUUCUAAACUUCGGUAUGUGGUGAAGCAAAUCUUUACUGAACCCUAAUUAUAAAGUAUUACUUAACCAUAUAUAUAUAUAUAUAUAUAUAUAUAU